This is an RNA transcript of Helianthus annuus (common sunflower), 1468 nucleotides long. RefSeq lists it as uncharacterized. NCBI's taxonomy places the organism in Eukaryota, Viridiplantae, Streptophyta, Magnoliopsida, Asterales, Asteraceae. The record is from RefSeq and is a predicted model, not a curated record. The transcript is spliced from 2 exons.
ACGCCCGUUCCGUUAUUUAUACACACGCACCCCAACCCCCCUCCCUCCACACCACACCCCCCUGUGUCUUAACAGACGCAGUCACUCAUACCCACCACUUGUUGCCACCCAUGAGACCAUCUGCAGUUGGUGCUGAACAAGAACAUCACCACACCAUCACCACGCGCCACCACAACACCACCCAUGGAAGUUGGAAUGAAGUUAAUGGAAGCUCCUUACCACGCGCCACCACCGCAACACCACCAUGACUCGUCUGGCCCCACCAUAGGCUUCCCACUCGGCACCGUGUUGCUUCUGAUUGUUGUGGUCAGCCUUUGUGGCGUCAUCUCCUGUUGUUACCAUUGGGAUAGGCUCCGCCACCUUCGUGGUGUAUUCACCGAUGACGAUGUUGAUCCUUCAGACCACUCACCGAAUAAACCGAAACCUGAUUGCUUGGUAAUAUAGUUCGGUUCUGCGUGGGAUAUCAGUGUUUUUGGGUGAAGCUAAACGUAACCCAUGUUUGGUAAAAGGUGCUUUGAAACCGGUUUGGGGACCGAGACUUGACAACCUGACGCGAUCUGAAACCGGUUUGGACUGAUGGAGACAAACCGAUUUGGACGCGGUUGAAACUUAGAGUGGGGUUGGUUUUGGGAUUCUGGGACACGAACCGGUUUGAAUAAUUCGGUUCGUGACUCGAUGACAAUGACUCAGUUUAGGAUUCCAAACCGAUUUUUGCGCAUCUAAUUCUGUUUUUUAACAACUACGAUUAGAGGGUUGACAUGAUGUUUUAAUUUUUUUUUUUAAAAAAAUUCAUGUUAAGGGUUAGUGGAACCUCUUAGGUCUUGACCCCUUUUAGUUCCGUCUCAAAAUCGUGGUAAACAUGGUUGUAGAAAUCGCUAGUUGCUAGUCGGUCGGUGAGGUGAGGGCUAGCGAUUAAUCGGGAUUAACUGGAGAUUAAUCGGAUAUAAUCGCAAUUAAUUGUAAUUAAUCGGAAAUUAAUCCAGAUUAUCGGCGAUUAAUCGAUGCCUAGUCAGGAUUUUUACAGCCAUGAUGAUAAACAAAACGUUAAGCUAAUAGGAUUGAUUUAGUAAAGGUAAAGGAGGUGGUGUAUUCAGCAAAAUUAUAAUAAGGGAUGCGUUUACCACAACAUUUUUUUUAUGAUGUUUUGUACUAGAUGUAUCUCACUCAUUAUUUUUUUGUAAAUCUACCCUUCUAACCUUCUACCUACGUCAUUCAUCUACUUUUACUCGAUUGCAGGAGUGGCUCAAGAGGGAGUGAAAUACAGAAAGGGCUUUGGGCCCUCACUUCCCUAGGGUACUCAAAUUCUUAAAAAAAAAUGUUAUUAUGAAAAUAAACGAGGCGUGGAUCAGAGUUUGCCGGUGAUAAUGGCUGGAGAUCAAUUUCCGAGGUUUAUAGCAAUGCCGUGUCUAUGUGAGCCACCGGCGCAAGGAAGGAUCGACGUAGGAGAGAUUCAGAUGUCACCCGUUCC